Equus caballus (horse) is the source of this 3024-nucleotide long non-coding RNA. The record is from Ensembl. NCBI's taxonomy places the organism in Eukaryota, Metazoa, Chordata, Mammalia, Perissodactyla, Equidae.
AUCUAUAAUGUUAAAUAUUGCACUCUAUACUGAAUACAAUGUAAUAGCAAAAAAUGAUUUUAUUGAUCAUCUGCUACAGUGUUUCAAUCACCUUUGCUAAUUUUUUAUAAUAUAAAACAUUAAGUAAAUGUAUUAAGUGAGAUCAAGAUGAUUGCAUAAGUCCAUGGUUAAAAUUAUUUCUCUAAUUUCUUUCUGAGCAGUAAUCAGGAUACUCUCCUUUGAUGAAUCUUAAUGCCUUAACUAUGGAACACCGCCCCAGAUCAUCAUGGGUGUUUAUCUAAAAAUCAGUGCAACUGGGAAGUAUUAAGCCUCGAGGGCUAGAACUAUCAGAUUCUUCACAUCAGAAAUAUUUAGAAUAAAGGUAAACCCAGCAUAUGUUAGAGCUAGUUUAGAAGAUUCCAGCGUAUGUGUAAUAAAGAAAUAGCAGCCAGUGAGACACAAACACAUCAGUCAGAUGUCCCUAUGGGACACCACAUGGUGUAGGCCUCCAAAGUGAGGGGGUGAAGUGGUCUCCCCAGCCUUUGCAUUUGGUAUCAAUCUGCAUACACAAAUCAAUGUUAUAAGAUUUAUUCCACAAACAUUUAUUACAAGCCUACUACGUGUCAAUGCUAUGCUAAUUGUUAUUUCUUUUUUUAAUGAAGAUUCUUUUGCUUUCUGGGGCACAUUCCUUUAGUGCAGGGUGAUUAAAGUUGCAGGUUAAAUUAAUAUUAGUAAUGAGCUAAUCUUACCCUUGGGAGCUUGUCCAGCUGGGCCCAAGGUAAUCACAAGGCCCUUAAAAGUGAAAAAGGGAAUCCAAAGAGAAAACCAGAGAGAAGGCAGCAUGAGAAGAAUUAAGCUCAAUGUCACUGGCUUUGCAGAUGUAUGAACGGGGCACAGAGAAGGAAUAAGUGCAGCUUCUAGAAGCUGACAGGGGCAAGAGGACUGAUUGUCCCUUGGAGCCUGCAGAAAGAACAUAGCCAUUCCAACAUCUUAAUUUUAGCCCAUCGAGACCCAUUUUGGACUUCUGACCUCCAAAAGUAUCCUCCAAAAGGAACUCAAUUGUCAUAAGUUCCCUCGGGCGUUCCAUCCACUGGGGAGAAGGAUUAUCGUCUCUGGAGAGGAGAUCGCAAGUGGACAGUGACGGGGUUGAGGGUGGGCCGCCCCAAGAUGUACCACUCUGGGAUGCAGGCUGUUUCGAGCUGAAGACCACAAAGGUUCAAAAGACUCAGGAAGAGCAUCCGACCUUCACCCCUCAAACUGCCUAAAGGACUUGAACAGACAAGGCCUGUUCCAGGAAGGGGCUCAUAUCGGGUGAUAGCUAUAGCAUGAUGUAAAAUAGGUGUGAUAAAAGGACACCAGCAAACCCAUUUUUUGGGCCUAGCAAAACCUGUUUAACAAACAUUUGCAUUCCAUCUCUAGGUAGAUUGUUUUCCUCCCGUUUGAAGUCCCAGAUCACUGUGUCCUCCUGGUCUGUAGCUGAGGAUACUUAAACGGGUGGACUCAGCCAGAUGGCAGAGUUACUCAGUUUCCUCUGGUUUUCUCCCAUGUAUACAUGCCAUUAAUUUGUUUGAUUUUCUCUUGCUAACCUGCCUCUUUGAUUAUUUAACCAGCCAUAAGAACCUUAAGGAAAAGUGGUGGGGGCAAUUCUCCUACUUCCCCGACAACAGCACACCCAGACAAACUGUGUCACAAACCGUCACACCCCCAUCUAUUCUUCUAAGAGCCCAUUCAUCUUUCCUAAAAACUGUGCUUUCCCUAAGAGCCUGACGUCUCCUCUCCUCUUUCCUAGUAAGAUGGCGUUUAAUCCUGAAUUCUAAGAGUUACUCAUUUUUCCCUGGGUGUCACCCAUGUUUGUUUUUCUUGUUAAUCUGUCUUUUAUUAUAGGAGUGUCAGUUAAGAACUCAGAAAUGAAAAGGGAAAAUUAUUUUUCUUCCCCUACAGUGAAAUAAUGGGGAAGAUGUGGAAUGUGAAACCACUUUUACUGCUCCAAUGGAAUCCUAGAUUUGUAUAAACAUUCUUUCAUAUAUUAUUUAAAUUAAAAUUAUCGAAGUCAUCCAAAAGUCUCUGAAGUAUUUCUGUGAGUUCACUCUCCCAACAAUGAGCUAUAACUGAAAAAUGAUGCCAUUCCUGGAAUUCAGAAAAAUAUGAUCUUCAUGAAUCAUUGGAAGUUUCCAGUGGCAAUAGAAAUUCUGAACCGAAGACACAUAACUUAGAACAUCUGUCAGUGAAUGAUGACUUCCCUCACAACUAUGCAGCAGCAUCCAUGAUCAAUUGUGCAUGAGCUGAGUCAAGGUGGAGCUCAGCCAAGACCUUCACCCCACAAGAACAGUGAGGGUGGGACCGACUGCUGACACUGCGCUGAGGCACAGCCAAAGUGCGUGAAUCACAAUGAGGCUGCAGUCACCGCAGUCACAAUUAGUCAGCAGUGGAGUGGUGCAGCCUUCUGGAAAUCUGCAACUGGCUUGAAAGCAAUAGUGCAAGGAGAUAUGUGAACUCUUCAUCCCUUUUGUUUCUUAAGAAAAAGGAUAAAUUUGUAAAAUGUAAAGGGCCCACAAAACGUAGUAGAAAAGAAAUUGACUUUAGAGUCAUCUGACCUGGGAUUAUAUUAAAGGUCUACAUCUUACUGAGAAAUUACCUAGCCUCUCUGAACCUCAUUUUACCCUCCUGCUACCUAGUCUUUAGUUGUUGCGAAGAAUAGACAUAAUUUACUUAUGUAAGGACCCAUUGGGCCAUCAAUAACUGUGUGUACUGGGGAAGCAAACUGGAGAUGGAAUAAUAGAUUCUUUUGUCAUCAAUCUCUUUGUUCACCUGACAAUAUCUUGUUGGAAGUCUCCUGGUUCUUUGCAUGCCUUAAAGACAGCAUUCUAGUUACUAGAAUAAAUUCACUAGUUCUUAGGAGGUUUCUAUGCUCCAGUUGUGACUAUGUGUGAGAACUUCUCUGUAGGAGGUAUCCUAUGUCUUCACAAAGACUCUGUAGGCAGCUUUCUCUACGUAGACAUUUAAAUCUUGUAUGUAGUAUAACCAAUCAGUUUGGUAAAGGACCUU